RNAcentral lists this ribosomal RNA (434 nucleotides) under uncultured bacterium. RNAcentral's name for it is "bacterial SSU rRNA". It matches the Rfam family "Bacterial small subunit ribosomal RNA", at positions 355 to 804 of the family's 1533-position model. The record is from RNAcentral.
UCGGGAAUUUUGGGCAAUGGGCGAAAGCCUGACCCAGCAACGCCGCGUGAAGGAUGAAGUAUUUCGGUAUGUAAACUUCGAAAGAAUAGGAAGAAUAAAUGACGGUACUAUUUAUAAGGUCCGGCUAACUACGUGCCAGCAGCCGCGGUAAUACGUAGGGACCAAGCGUUGUUCGGAUUUACUGGGCGUAAAGGGCGCGUAGGCGGCAAUUCAAGUCAUCUGUGAAAUCUCCGGGCUUAACUCGGAACGGUCAGAUGAUACUGCUUUGCUAGAGUGCAGAAGGGGCAAUCGGAAUUCUUGGUGUAGCGGUGAAAUGCGUAGAUAUCAAGAGGAACACCUGAGGUGAAGACGGGUUGCUGGGCUGACACUGACGCUGAGGCGCGAAAGCCAGGGGAGCAAACGGGAUUAGAUACCCAGGUAGUCCCUGAGCGGGC